GAUGAGGAACGUAGCGAAAUGCGACACGUAAUGUGAAUUGCAAAUUCAGUGAAUCAUCGAGUCUUUGAACGCACAUUGCGCCCCCUGGUAUUCCGGGGGGCAUGCCUGUCCGAGCGUCAUUGCUGCCCUCAAGCACGGCUUGUGUGUUGGGCCCCGUCCUCCGAUUCCGGGGGACGGGCCCGAAAGGCAGCGGCGGCACCGCGUCCGGUCCUCGAGCGUAUGGGGCUUUGUCACCCGCUCUGUAGGCCCGGCCGGCGCUUGCCGAUCAACCCAAAUUUUUAUCCAGGUUGACCUCGGAUCAGGUAGGGAUACCCGCUGAACUUAAGCAUAUCAAUAAGCGGAGGA
RNAcentral lists this unclassified non-coding RNA (345 nucleotides) under soil metagenome. RNAcentral's name for it is "partial contains 5.8S ribosomal RNA, internal transcribed spacer 2, and large subunit ribosomal RNA". The stretch from base 1 to 119 matches the Rfam family "5.8S ribosomal RNA", at positions 35 to 154 of the family's 154-position model. The record is from RNAcentral.